AAACGCCCGGGAAUUACGAGCGCAAGCUUAAAACCCAAAGGAUUUGACGGUGUCUCACCCAUCUAGAGGAGCCUGUUCUAUAAUCGAUACUCCACGAUAUACCUUACCACUUUUAGCCCCAUCAGCCUGUAUACCUCCGUCGACAACUUACCAUUUGAAUGUAACAAAGUUAGUUCAAUGGCCUUCACACCAACACGUCAGGUCAAGGUGCAGCCUAUAAAGUGGAAAGCAAUGGGCUACAAUUUCUAAUAUAGAACAAACGAAAUACUACAUGAAAUAUAGUCAUGAAGGCGGAUUUAGUAGUAAAAGAAGAAUAAUAAACUUCUUUAAAUAUGGCUCUGAGACGUGUACAAACCGCCCGUCACCCUCUUCAAUAAUACCCCUUAGCUUCCUAACAUUUUUAAACAUACUAGAAGAGGCAAGUCGUAACAUGGUAAGUGUACUGGAAAGUGUACUUGGUUAAACAAAGUAUAGCUUAGCCAAAGCCUUUCGCUUACACCGAAAAAUCAUCUGUUCAACCCAGAUUACUUUGAGCCCUAAAUCUAGCCUACACUAUUUCUUAUGCUAACAUCAACUAAUUAAUAUAUAAUAAAACAUUUUUAUGCUUUAGUAAAGGAGAU
This 620-nucleotide ribosomal RNA is filed under the name Gephyromantis atsingy. RNAcentral's name for it is "partial 12S ribosomal RNA". The stretch from base 1 to 471 matches the Rfam family "Bacterial small subunit ribosomal RNA", at positions 867 to 1533 of the family's 1533-position model. The record is from RNAcentral. Lineage: Eukaryota; Metazoa; Chordata; Amphibia; Anura; Mantellidae.